Ursus americanus (American black bear) is the source of this 125-nucleotide small nucleolar RNA. The record is from Ensembl. Lineage: Eukaryota; Metazoa; Chordata; Mammalia; Carnivora; Ursidae.
AGUAUCUAUUUGACAGACUUGGAGCAGUUACUAUUUGCUGCUAGGUUUCCCCCACAGAUGCAAGAAAAAGUGUCUGCAUUUUCUGUGUAAUUGUGGAACCCGAGAUUGAAUAGAGGAAUACAGGA